RNAcentral lists this long non-coding RNA (4336 nucleotides) under Capsicum annuum. RNAcentral describes it as "long non-coding RNA (CANN_LNC010273)". Lineage: Eukaryota; Viridiplantae; Streptophyta; Magnoliopsida; Solanales; Solanaceae. The record is from RNAcentral.
UAAGCUCCUAUCAACGUUCAAUUUCCCUAAAAAGAGCCAAAACCAUCGCCCUUCCUUUAUUUCUUCUGAUCCAUCUUCCCCUUCAUGCCAAGAACGACCAACUAAUAAACCUAGCUGCAUCAGUAUAGUCUGCCGCUAGCCUGUUCAAGAUUCACUCAUUUUUUCCCGCCCAAGCCCGUGAAUCCGCAAAAACCAGAGAAAUCAGUCCCUAAAUUGUGAUGCAACGGAAAAACUUUUUAAACCCGCCAUUAAAUUGGCCUGGAAAAAAAGAUUCAUCUCAUGUUUUCUUUUCAAACAUCAAAUCAAUUUUAUCACAUGUUGGUUUAUUUUGAGUUUCGAAUUCAGAUUUUUGAGUCUGAAUUCACCUAUAAAUAUGAGCGUUUCUCCAUCUUCACGGAGGGGGAGGGAAGAUAUGAAAAAAAAGGGACGUGAACAGGUUCCAAAAUUAGGGGUGUCAAAUUUCCUAGUGCUUUCUUUAGAUAUUGUCCAAAUUUAAAGUUUAGGAGUUGGUUCAUAGUCGCCGAAAACUAUCCCUACGUCUACGUUCCAGUUUGCUGCACCCGAAAAGGUGCGGACACACCCCUUUCUUGCUUUGUUCUUAUUUUUUUUUUCUCUUCAUCUAUUUUCAAUUCUAUUAAAUAUGAGAGGAUUUUGAUUUCAAGCUAUGUUGUUGUUGGUAACCUGGCCCUGCGGGUAGAUAUUAUGGUUUGUGAAUCGGAAAAUUAUUUGGUGCUAAAUACAUGAGUUUAUACAUUUGUUUAUCUUGUUUGAUUGUUGUUGUCCUUUGGGAAUCUCAUCGAUGAGCGUGAUUUGAAUAUGAAAGUUCAUGUUGUGUGUAUGCUAGUUUGUUAGUAUAUGAAUAAGUCGCUUCUGGGUUUGUUGUUAACUCUUAAAAAAAUGAAUUUGGGCGUGAAUUUGACCAAGCUUGUGUCUUCGUUAUUGAUCCCAAAAUACGCUAAUAUUUGAUUUCAAUUUAAUUACGUCGUCACUGAUUUGUGGGAAAAUGCUCGAUUCCUUUUUUUCCCUAUUUGGUCGGUGUUGUCUUUCAUUAUGUGUGGAUUAAUUUCUCAAAUUUGAUGUUGUUUUAAAUUUUCUUAAUUUGAGGAUAUUCCCUUCUUACUGUUGAAAGUUGAUAUGUGCAAGGAAAAUGUGUUCCAUCUUAAUCGCUCAAACGUUUUCUAAUUGCUUUUGUAAGAGGUCUUUUUUAAAGCCAAAAUAUCAUUUGAGAAUAUUGUGGUAGCAAUUGAAACUUUUGAAAUAGUUUGCAUUGUUUAUCUUUGGUAAAAUUGAGUAGAUGAAAAAUUUUCUUGCCUCAAGCGAAAAUAUGAAUGUAUGUUUAUUACUAUGAUAGAGCUUUUUCAUUAGGAUUUCUUUUAUUCAAAUGUGUAUUGAUUAAUAUUGUAGGUGGAUUGCAUCGUAUGCUUUUUUUGUAAGAAAAUUACAUGUGGGUGUUGUAAAUGUAUCGUGAAAUAUGUUCCCCCCAAAAGUAACUUGAUCCCAUUUUUUGUUGUGUUCUACUGUAUUAAAAAAAAAAGGUAAAGGAUCAAAUGUUUAAGUAAAUAAAAAUAAAAGGAGAGAUUUUUUUUUAUUCUUGAAUGUGCAGAUUUCUUAUUUUUUUCUUUUUUGCUGGUGGUUCUUACUAAUAUUAUUUGCCUUAAUAUGGUCUCAACUAGGGCGGCUUAUCGGACGAAUCAGAUGAACCAUUACACUUAAUGAUUUGGCUUAACGGUUAUCGGUUUUAAAAUAUACAAAUCCUUUAGCCAACCGAUAAGAUAUCAGUUGGUUCGGUAACGGAUAAACAAUUAUCGGACAGUUUAUUGGACAUCCAUAAUUUGUAAGACCCCACAAAAUUCUCUCGUAGAAUGAGCCUUAGGGCAUGUCAAAUGAGGCGUAAUUCCGAUCCUAAAAGAUUGAGAAGUGACUUCCUAAGUGAGUAACAUGUUAACCAUAUAGAAUUUCCCUAAUUUUGUCUUUUUAUCACAUGGGAAUUUUGAUAAGCUUUCCAUCGAUAUAAGAUUCGCCCAAAUCCGAUACCCGGGUAAGAAGUUAUGGCUAAUUUAAAUCCUAGUCGUAAAACAACGUCAUUUUAGUGCUUGGUACAUCGCGGAGAGGGUCUAUUUGACAAUUAUCAAAUUCCAGUGGAACUCCGCAAUAGUGGCGCAUCGCGGAGGACCCCAAUUUCUCAAUAGUCAAUUUCCAGUGGCCUAGCACAAUUGUGACGCGUCGUGCUGAAGUUCCAGGUCCCAACCAGUGGGACAAUGCGAUGGCUCUGCAUUGUGGUGACUCCCAGAUUCCCAUUUGUCAAUUUCCAGUGAGCCACCAUGAUAGUGGCGUGUCGCGGUGGCCCAUAAAAUCGAGUUCCCAAUUUAAUUUUUUUGAGCUUCGUACAAAGGUUAAAAGGGUCACUUUGAACUUUUUCCAAGCCUCUUAUACCGUACAAACACCAAAUUAAAGUCAUUUACAAGAAUUCUAUGAAGUUUUUCUCAAGUUUUCUCUCAACAAAAACCCUAAGUAUCCAAAACCUCUUCCAAGAAAUUCAAUAAUCGAUCAUAGAUUUUCUAAAUUGAGUCAAGAUUCAAGGUUCCCAAGUCAAGGGCUUCAAGAACACUCAUUCAAGAGUACGAAUAGAGUCCCAAAAGUGAGAGUUCAUCCAAAUCUUCUAAUUCAAGGUAUGUGGGAUUUUGAACAAGGGUAAUCCUUUCACCUUUGUGCCCAAAGGCUUAUUUAAACUACAAUUCUCUGCAAUUUAUGAGAUUUUACAUGAAAUUAAAUUGGGUUUUUUCAUCAAUUGUUAUUGGUUGCAAGCUUUUGAUGUUUUCCAUGAAUUGAGAGUCUAAUGGCAUGAUUUUUACAUGUUUUCUUGAGAAAUUACAGCUGGAUCUAUACCCCAUGAUUUUAAUCCUUGAGAAUUUAAUAGUUGAAAUGUUUGAGCUAUUGAAGCAUAUGAGUAUGUUGAGAUUAUGAGCUAAAUUGCUGUAAAUUCCAGAUUUUUAUAUGAUUUAUUAAUCUAGAUGCUAUCUAUUAUGCAUUAUGAUGAAUUUUAACUUGAGAUGGAAUUAUGGGUCAUUAAGUCCUACUUGAGACUUGCAAUUUUAUGAACUAUUGUGCUAUAAGCAGCCAUCAUUUGAGUAUUUUGAGAUUAUUGAGAAAUGUUUUGACGUAAUGGUCAUAGAGUUUUGAAAUCCACUCUACCACAUGAGAUUAUAUAUUUUAUUGUUGGGUUCUUAUGAACCAUAAGAUUAUUUUGAAAGUGGAUUUCCAUGAAAUGAGCGAGAUAAACUUAAGGGAGUAGUAUUUAGCAUCGAGUUCGGUAAGUUACUAUAGUUUCUUACCCCAGAACUAUGUACCAUCGUAGGUUUGAGAUUUUGGAUCUAAGGCCGAGGUAUUAGGCCCGAGGCUGAGAUAAGUGAUCACUAAAUUGAGGUUAUACUACCUGGCAAGAGUAUGACGCUCCUCCCCAGCGUGGAGUCUCUUCCUUAGGAGGACAAAAUAUUGGACUCCAUGUAGCUCGCAUGGUUUAUAUCGGUUAAGAGAACCUCCCUUGAUACAAGUUAUUUUCCUAAUAGUGAAGUUGCGGAUUUUCUCCCUAAGACUAAAGUAUUUUCUCUUGAUAUAAGUAUUUUUCCCUAAAGCUUGAAUCGAGAUAUUUUCCUAAAGUGAAUGAAAUGCCUUCAAGUAUGUUUCAAAGUUAUAUGAUUCUGAAUUUCAAGUACUUGAGUUCAAAGGAGUUAUGAGUUCUUGAGCAUUAAAGAAGUUUUACUCUCCAUGAAACAUAUGAAUAAGUUGAAAGUAUUAUUUAAAGUUUCCUUUAGCCUAUGGGUAAUGAGAAUAAGAGAAGAUUACCGAUUUCAAAGUUAAACUAUGAUGACUCUCAAGAUUUGUAUUACAUGCUCCAUUCUACAUGAUUCAUGAGCUUUACAUUUUAUACUUAUUCGAGUCAUGUGAGUCAUUACUUAUUGCAUGCAUGAUUUGAUUAAAUAGUAUUGAUGUUGUUUUAUAUAAAUGCAUGCACCCCCACAUACUCAGUAUAUUCCCAAGUGCUGAUCCAUAUAUACGUCUAUGUGCUACAUUGUCUUAUAAUAUAGGUUCAGGUGCUCAGUCCCAGCCUUGUCGGUGACUUUUGAGUACCUCUGUCUACAUUCCUACAGUGGUGAGUCCUCAUGGUUCGAGGACCUAUCUUCAGAUAUUUCUACAUUUGAGAGACUUUGUUUUUACUUUCAAUUCAUUUUGAGUCAGUUGGGGACCUGUCCCAAUGGCUCUCUAGUUCAUGGAUUAGUAGAGGCUUUGUCAGACUAGUUAUCAGAUUGUGAUUGUGUUGAGAAUUCCAGUAUUGUGG